CCUACGGGAGGCAGCAGUGGGGAAUCUUGCGCAAUGGGCGAAAGCCUGACGCAGCGACGCCGCGUGGGGGAUGAAGGCCCUCGGGUUGUAAACCCCUUUCGGCAGGGACGAAGCGAUCGUGACGGUACCUGCAGAAGAAGCCUCGGCUAACUACGUGCCAGCAGCCGCGGUAAU
This 174-nucleotide ribosomal RNA is filed under the name uncultured Actinomycetes bacterium. RNAcentral describes it as "uncultured actinobacterium partial 16S ribosomal RNA". It matches the Rfam family "Bacterial small subunit ribosomal RNA", at positions 338 to 524 of the family's 1533-position model. Lineage: Bacteria; Bacillati; Actinomycetota; Actinomycetes. The record is from RNAcentral.